This 823-nucleotide ribosomal RNA is filed under the name Panagrolaimus subelongatus. RNAcentral describes it as "SSU rRNA". It matches the Rfam family "Eukaryotic small subunit ribosomal RNA", at positions 39 to 867 of the family's 1831-position model. Lineage: Eukaryota; Metazoa; Nematoda; Chromadorea; Rhabditida; Panagrolaimidae. The record is from RNAcentral.
AAAGAUUAAGCCAUGCAUGUCUAAGUACAUGUGUAAUUAAACACGAAACCGCGUAUGGCUCAUUACAACAGCUAAAAUUUACUUGAUUUUGACUUUUAUCCUACAUGGAUAACUGUGGUAAUUCUGGAGCUAAUACAUGCAUAAAAGAUAUAACAUUUAUAUGUUAUAUUGCGUAUAUUAGUAUUAAAACCAAGCAUUCUUCGGAAUGUUUUGUGUUGAAACUGAAUAUAUCAUGCUGAUCGUAUGGUCUUGUACCGACGACAUGUCAUUCAAGUGUCUGUUCUAUCAACUUUCUAUAUAAGUAUAUAGUACUUAUAUGGUUUUGACGGAUAACGGGGUAUUAGGGUACGACUCCGGAGAAAAUGCCUGAGAAACGGCGUUUACAUCCAAGGAAGGCAGCAGGCGCGAAAAUUACCCACUCUCAGUACGAGGAGGUAGUGACGAGAAAUGACAAGAUCUAUUCCUUCGGGGAUGGAUCAUUGGAAUGGUUUGAUUUUAAAAUCAUUAAAGAGUAUCAAUGAGAGGGCAAGUCUGGUGCCAGCAGCCGCGGUAAUUCCAGCUCUCAUACUGCAUUGAAUUGUUGUUGCGGUUAAAAAGCUCGUAGUUGGAUCUGUACAUGAUAGGUUAGUUCAUCCUUUGGAUUGUAACUAAUACUAAAUGUUUUUUAUUAGAUUUUUUUAGUCCGUAAGGAUUAAAAUGUCUAAUGAGUUUACUUUGAAUAAAUCAGAGUGCUCAAAACAGGCGUAAGCUUGUAUGGUUUUGCAUGGAAUAAUAGAACAUGACUAUGGUUCAUGUUUUAUUGGUUUUACUUACCAUAGUAAUG